Long non-coding RNA from Cyprinus carpio (common carp), 289 nucleotides. Lineage: Eukaryota; Metazoa; Chordata; Actinopteri; Cypriniformes; Cyprinidae. The record is from Ensembl.
CCCCAAAUACAUGUUUGUCCAGCAUCAUCUGUAUUGGUGUUUACUCUGUCACCCUCCCAAACAUUGUGUUUGUUUUUUCUCUGUGGCUCUGAAACACUCAAAUUGCAUUUCUCAGAUGCUGGAUCCCCGGAGGAGUGCGUUCGGCGGCAGGUGUCUGAGGAAGUCAGAUCUCUGCUCCUGUUGUUUGGUUAGCGCUGGAAAAGUUUCUCUUCCCACUGACAUGGAAAAGUGGGAUAGAUCUCGGAGAAGCGUUGACGUUCCCAUCCAGAAGAAUUCCAGCACCCCCUAA